RNAcentral lists this unclassified non-coding RNA (221 nucleotides) under Hevea brasiliensis (rubber tree). Lineage: Eukaryota; Viridiplantae; Streptophyta; Magnoliopsida; Malpighiales; Euphorbiaceae. The record is from RNAcentral.
GAACUCUUCUGCAACCAGCUUGUACAUUUCUUCUCUAUUUUCAGAGGCUUAUUUAUUUGCUUGGUAAUGAAAAACUACAUGUUUAUUCAUAUUUUGCCUCGUAGAACUGCCAAUCAGAAGUGCUGCUGGUUGUAACAGUCCAAGUUAGCUCCAUAGCUGACUCCCAGUAAAUCACAGUACCUCUUGUAAAAUCCGAUCCGAUCCGCCACCGCACUGUUCGC